This is a long non-coding RNA of Brassica napus (rape), 1481 nucleotides long. RefSeq lists it as uncharacterized. The transcript is spliced from 2 exons. The record is from RefSeq and is a predicted model, not a curated record. NCBI's taxonomy places the organism in Eukaryota, Viridiplantae, Streptophyta, Magnoliopsida, Brassicales, Brassicaceae.
AGUGGUUGGUUGAUGCAAAAGAAAAACCUGUUAGAGCAAGCUUUUAUUUCAAUUUUUCCUUUUGUGAUUACAAGUCAAAGACACUUUCUCAAGCAUAGCUCUUUGUAACGCUUUCUCUUUCUUGUAUGUUCUUCUGUCAUUUGUUUUAGAAUCUCGUACACCGCUCCGGUUGCAUCCGGAAAGUAUCUGCAACGUUCGGGUUUUGUGUAGCUUUUAUCCAGGUUUACGAGUAGAAACGCUGGUAAUAACUGAUUUGUUCUUAUUUUACCUGCUCAAACUGCGUUUUCUUUAUCAGACUCUGUUGCCUCUUCUUAACACACUUCUUAACUCAGACUGUCACUGUGUCACAUAAGAAUCAUAUGGCUCCAAAUGCUGAUCAUCCUACUGGAAUGCGUAAGCUCUUCAUCUGCAGGGUGGUUUCCAUCUUGGAUAUUAGUGUGCAUUAAGUUGCAGGGCUAAGAAUGGUACGAUAUUAAGUCAUUAACUAAUAAUCUUCUUUGAUAUCCCGCUGUUGGAUGCCAACCAUGAUUGGUUUGUCAUGAACAGCUUGUUGGAUGUGAAGUAACCUCAGUCUCAGCCACCACUUCCCAUGUGGAUAGGACUUUACCCGCCCCAGACAAUAUAACAUCAAACUUGUAUAAGACUUUACCCGCACCAGGCAAUAUAUACAUCAAUCUAUGUUCCACAGCACACUAAUAUCACAUGAAUUCUCAAAUCCAGGAUGUUUCUUUGCUCCGCAGUCAGCUUGAGAACAGAUGCUCCGGUUUUUUUUUUUUAUAUAUGGUUGUGUCUUCAAGGUCUCCCUCCAAAGGCAUGUAGUAAGAUUUAGAUGUUCUGCUUUCUAAUAUACCUUAGCCUAAGAACCAUAAUUUUUCUUAUCUAUUUUUAGAUAUUAUGGAGAUUUGUCGGAUUAAAAGGUCUGUACAACUUGAGCGUGGAGUCAAAGAUGGCCGACAUGGUUACAUGGCCACAGUUUACGGGGAAGGAGGGACAUCGAGGACCAUCUUUUACCCGUUCAGUGGAGUGACUGAAGAGCUAAAAGCGUUCUUCAGUGACAUUUCAGAGACUUCAAAGGUAAUCCUCGAAUCUUAAGCCUUGGAAAUGGAAUGCAGUAACUCAAAACAUUAGUGUUCUAUUAUCUUAAACCCUCCGGACAUAUGCAUUUGCUGCAGGAGCAAGAGCCUCGUCGACUAUCAUGCGUGGAAGGUACUCGUGACGUUGCUGUUCUUGGGGCAAUGCUUGAAUCUGGUGCAAGAAACGGAGCUGUAGUUCCUGUGGCGAAGUUCUAGCUUUGAAACUUUGAUAAUGAUUUACACAUCAAGAGACCACCACAGCUUAGUUGGAAUAAAAAUUCAAACUAAUAUUAUUUGUAAACAUUCCUUUAUUACCGAGAGCAUUUUAAAGCUUAUAUGAAAUAAUUACAAGAAGAAUUUCAAACAGAUUAAAAACAUAUAACUCAUCAUCAUCAUCAUCUAAGUUAA